Long non-coding RNA from Benincasa hispida (wax gourd), 940 nucleotides. RefSeq lists it as uncharacterized. The record is from RefSeq and is a predicted model, not a curated record. Lineage: Eukaryota; Viridiplantae; Streptophyta; Magnoliopsida; Cucurbitales; Cucurbitaceae.
UUAAAAACCUUUUUUUUACAAACCUAAAGAAAAUAAAAAAAAGGAAAGAAACUUUCCAUCUUUUUCGUGAGAACCCCUAGCCGCCAGCUCUGAGAGGAGUGCGUGCAAUCACUUCGCUGCUAUUCGCGUCCGUCGCCGGCCUCGAAACGUUCUGCAAUUCGUCCCAGGUACAGUCGUCCUCAACUGUUCGGGUCGUGGGUCAGACGCCGGCUAGCUAGCAGUCAUGUUCGUUCGUGGGUUUCGAUUGACGCUCGCCUCAAUCGUCGCCCAUCGACGAUCUUAAAAAAAUUGCAGACCUUCUCCCCUAGGUUUUCUUCUUCAAGCAGCUGUCGCCUUCACGUAACGUUUAGGUUUUCUUCUUCAAACAGCCGGUGCCAGCUACUGUUGCUGGAACUCGCGCCGCCGUUAAUGCCUAGCCGCCAGAUUUGAAGUCGUGCCAGCCACCGCCCAGUGCACUAGUCUGUUCCUCUUCCAACAAUUGGAUCAACAUUCAAGAAGGAUGAUUGGGAGUGUUAGGAUGCUGGAUGGUUUCUACUACAUUGAUGAAGGUAUCAUGCACCGAGGAGGUAGAACCAAGAAAUCGAAGAUAAAUGGGGCUAAUUUGAAGCAAUUUGGAGGUGAUUUGAGUAGUCAGGCUUGAAAACAGUGAAAAUUACGAAAUUAUCACUGCACUGUCACAACGUUGCAACGCUCUACCCUGACACUCUAAGGUAGAAUGUGUAGCAUUGUAAUGCUCCAAAUUUGCGUAACGUCAGCGUUAGCAUUGCGGCGAUGCGAUCUUUCCUAUAAAUACUUCCCUUCGUCUUUAGGUCAAAAUAUGCCAAAUCUGGGAGGCUAAAUUGAUGGAGGUCGAAGUAAAACUCGUUCCUUCGUUCAUUCCCUUCAAUUUUCGGUAUCUUUAAGUUAGUUUUGAUUUUUAUUUUGGGUUAUAAUCAAUGGA